This 1212-nucleotide long non-coding RNA is filed under the name Vombatus ursinus (common wombat). RNAcentral describes it as "lncRNA (ENSVURG00010011129.1)". The record is from RNAcentral. Lineage: Eukaryota; Metazoa; Chordata; Mammalia; Diprotodontia; Vombatidae.
UGUCUCUGUCCCCACCCCCAAUGGAUGAUUAAAGUCAAAUCUUUUCGAUUGUUAAAAUGGCUAUUGUUGGCACUAGGACUUGGUCGUUUUGCUUGUAGAGAUUUGUUCUCUGACAUUUUUUUUCUUCUCUGUUUUUCUCUGCUUUUUAUCUGAAUGUCAAUCUGAAUGUCAAUGCCAGAAGAAAGCUUCUCUCGAUUUUAGAAAUAUUAGAGGCAGCCUAUUGGUGCCACCCGAGAUAGUAAUCCUGUCGCUGUUGUUUUUUUAAUCAGCAAUUGGGCAGAUGCAGCUCUGAUUGUGGAAACUGAAAUCCUCUUCAGCAUCAGUGAUGUCUAAGGACCCCGUAACCAAGUUGGCUGGCACAUUCCCCCAAAGCAAACUACCCCUUCCUAAUAAGAAUUCAGGAAAAGUUAUGUUCCCUUUGUCCUUGAGUAUGAAUGAAAGUGUGCCCAACACCUUCACUGAGCAGCUGGCACCCUUAUGUUACUCAACAAACUGUGACUUGGCAGUGAGGAACACGGUUCCAGAGGAGGAAGCAAAGCCAAGUCAAGAUUCUGAUGAUGACCAGCAAUCGAACAUUUUGGCCAACUCAGUCUUACUCUUUCCUUUAAUGACAUGCAGCAGAAAUCCAACUGGGUACCUUCAGGCCACAAAAGUAAGUGGCCCUUCAGAGACACUGCCUUCUGCUCCCCAAAUUCCAGGAGCACAGGAACAGGUGUUGAAGCAGCAAAUGGAGCAGCUACAAAGAUUGGUGGCAGAACAGCAGAGGAUUAUCACACUGUCCCACUCAGGUAGUAUCCUGGUGGCAGCUUAGUGAAUGGUGCUUCUGUCCUGUGACAGCCAAUGUGAUUUAUUUUGAAAGAAAAUCUGUUGAUUUUAGGUUAAAACUUUUUGUGAGCGUUUUAAAGGUGACGACUCCUUAUUGUGCUGCUAAUGUAGCUAUUGGAUGGUCAGGUAGUAAAGUGGAUAGAGUGCCAGAAAUGGAGUCAGGAAGAGUCAUCUUUCUGAGUUCAAAUCUGACCUCAGACACUGGCUAUGUGACCCUGGACAAGUCAUUUAAUCCUGUUUGCCUCAGUUUCCUCAUCUGUAAAAUGAGCUGGAGAAGGAAAUGGCAAACCACUCAAUUAUCUCUUCCAAGAAAAUCCCAAAUGGGGUUUCAACGAAUCGGACCAACUGAAAACGAUUGAACAAUAAAUGUAGCCACAUUCUGAACCA